GGAUUAGAAACCCGGGUAGUCCACGCCCUAAACGAUGUCAACUGGUUGUCGGGCGCUUCGGUGCUUGGUAACGUAGCUAACGCGUGAAGUUGACCGCCUGGGGAGUACGGUCGCAAGAUUAAAACUCAAAGGAAUUGACGGGGACCCGCACAAGCGGUGGAUGAUGUGGAUUAAUUCGAUGCAACGCGAAAAACCUUACCUGCCCUUGACAUGUACGGAACCUCGAUGAGAGUUGAGGGUGCCCGAAAGGGAGCCGUAACACAGGUGCUGCAUGGCUGUCGUCAGCUCGUGUCGUGAGAUGUUGGGUUAAGUCCCGCAACGAGCGCAACCCUUGCCCCCAGUUGCUACGCAAGAGCACUCCGGGGGGACUGCCGGUGACAAACCGGAGGAAGGU
RNAcentral lists this ribosomal RNA (394 nucleotides) under uncultured bacterium. RNAcentral describes it as "bacterial SSU rRNA". It matches the Rfam family "Bacterial small subunit ribosomal RNA", at positions 775 to 1174 of the family's 1533-position model. The record is from RNAcentral.